ACACCUCAACUCUCAUGGUCCGCCAUGAUGAGCUUGGACUCUGGAGGUCUUGCUGGCCUAGUGUCGGCUCCUCUCAAAUGGAUCAGCUUGCCAGUGUUUGGUGGCAUCACGGGCGUGAUAACUAUCUACGCUUGUGGUUUUCCGCCAUGCAACCUUCAGCGAUGGAGGUUCGCUGGAGCUCACAGAUGUCUCUCCUUGGCGAGGACAGCUUUUGAAC
RNAcentral lists this unclassified non-coding RNA (217 nucleotides) under uncultured Tomentella. RNAcentral describes it as "sequence contains ITS2". Lineage: Eukaryota; Fungi; Basidiomycota; Agaricomycetes; Thelephorales; Thelephoraceae. The record is from RNAcentral.